AUAUUGAGCAAUGGGCGAGAGCCUGACCCAGCCAUGCCGCGUGCCGGAUGAAGGCCUUCUGGGUUGUAAACGGCUUUUCUCAGGGAAGAAAAAGGGUAUGCGUACUCAACUGACGGUACCUGAGGAAUAAGCACCGGCUAACUCCGUGCCAGCAGCCGCGGUAAUACGGAGGGUGCAAGCGUUGUCCGGAUUUAUUGGGUUUAAAGGGUGCGUAGGCGGCCCGUUAGGUCCGGGGUGAAAGCCCACAGCUCAACUGUGGAACUGCCCUGGAUACUGGCGGACUUGAGUCCAGACGAGGUUGGCGGAAUGGAUGGUGUAGCGGUGAAAUGCAUAGAUACCAUCCAGAACCCCGAUUGCGAAGGCAGCUGACUAGGCUGGUACUGACGCUGAGGCACGAAAGCGUGGGGAGCGAAC
This 414-nucleotide ribosomal RNA is filed under the name uncultured bacterium. Its description in RNAcentral is "bacterial SSU rRNA". It matches the Rfam family "Bacterial small subunit ribosomal RNA", at positions 361 to 773 of the family's 1533-position model. The record is from RNAcentral.